Molecule: long non-coding RNA, 3247 nt
Filed under: Nicotiana tabacum (common tobacco)
Lineage: Eukaryota; Viridiplantae; Streptophyta; Magnoliopsida; Solanales; Solanaceae
Description: long non-coding RNA (NTAB_LNC003456)
Source: RNAcentral
GUCUUCUUUCUCCCAUCAACUCCUACCCCAUCCAAAAAAUAUCUACAUUAUGGAGCAAAGCUUGAGAAAGACUUCUCUUAGUAGUCCAAAUCCUGCCCAAAACUAGAAAAGAAUUCAUGAUGAGAUACUUCUUUUUUUCCAAAGCUGAACGAAACUGAAGAUACAAGAUAAUUUUUUUCAGGGUUUUCCUCUUGUCAAUUUUUGUUUAAUUUAAUCUUUUUUCUUUUAUAUGUUUUCUCAUGAGGUCAAUCUUUAUUUUUAUUUUUCUUAUGGUAUUUUUUCUAUUUUUAUUUUUAUUUUUGGCCCUACUAUUUUAGUUUUCCAGUUAUAAGAUGCUAGCAAGAAGUUUCAAGAAUUAUGUACAAUUGACUCAUGAAUAGAUAAUAUUUUUGAUUAUGGUAUUUUCAGGAACUGUAUAUUUCCAAUUGUCUCUACUAUUAAAAAGAGGUUUGAUGGGAGAAACAAGACUAAAGUGGAAGAGAGAGGAAAAAUGGGCCAUGUAAGUAUAGAGAGAGGUAGAGUUUUGUUUUGUUUUUAAAGCACCAUAUAUUUUUAGGCUUCCAAUUUUGAUAAUAACGAUCUUAAUAUGACGACCCGGCCAGUCGUCUCAUGAGUUACCGCUCCAUUUUCCCUAUUUCUGCUUCUUUACGCUUUGUUUAUCCGUGUUAUGUGGUAUCGGGUUAGUCGGAUCGAAUCCGGAAUGAAUUUAGUAAGGUUUGAGACACUUAGUCUCUUUUGAGGAAGCUUAAGUUGGAAAAGUCAACCGGAUGUUGACUUAUGUGUUAGAGGGCUCGGAUGUGAGUUUUGAUGAUUCGAUUAGCUUCGGGAGGGGAUUUAUGACUUAGGAACAUGAUUGGAAUGAGUUUCGGAGGUUCGUAGUAGAUUUGGGCUUGAAUUGGCGAAGUUGAUAUUUUGGCGAUUUCCGAUUGGUAGGCAAGAUUUUGAUAUAAGAGUUGGAAUAGAAUUUCGAGAGUUUCAGUAGCUUCGUUAUGUUAUUUGGGAUGUGUGUGCAAAAUUUCAGGUCAUUUGGAUGUGGUUUGGUUGGAUUUUUGAUCAAAAGUGAAAUUCGGAAGAUUUUAGAAAGUUUGGCUUGAAUCCGAUGUGUUUUGGGUGAUUUAAUAUUGUGUGAGGUGUUUUGGUGAUUGGAACAAGUUUAAAUAAGGUAUUGGGUUAUGUUUGUGCUUUUAGUUGAGGUCCUAGGGGCCUCAGGGUGAUUUCGGAUGGUUAACGGAGAAGUUGUAAUUUUGUUGCAGCAACUGAAUUUGCUGCUUCUGGUAUUUUCGCACCUGCGGAUUGGGGACCGCAGGUGCGCCGCCGCAUAAGCAAAGAGUUGGUCGCAGAAGCGAAAAAUGGUCAGGUGAGUUGAGACUGCAGAAGCGGUAAGGUGACCGCAUCUGCGAUGUCGCAGAUGCGGAUUUGGCCCAUUAAGUGAUAUCCGCAGAAGCGGAGGAAAGGCCGCAUAUGCGGUACCGCAGAAGCGGCUAUUGUGCUGCAGAUGCGGAACAACUGGGCAGAACAUAUAAGUUAUUUCAUUUUGCGAAUUUGAGUUAUUUCACCAUUUUUGACUUCAGCUUGGGAGCUUUUUGGGCGAUUUGAAAGAGGGAUUUCAAGGAAACUUCAUUGAGGUAAGGAAUUUGAACUUAAAACUCGUUCCUAUGCUAUUAUUCUAUGGAUUAGAGCUAUAAAUUAUGGAUAUUAAGGGCAAAAUUUGGGGAAACCUGGGGUUUAGUAUCAGAGACCUAUGAUUGAGGAUUUGAUAAACCAUUUGAGGUCGGAUUUCUGAACUUUUGAUAUGUAUGAACUCAUGGGGAGAUAAGGAAUCUAUUGGUGUAAAAAUUAUUGAAUUCCGAGACGUAGGCCCGGGGGCCAGGUUUUGGUAAUUUCGGGAUUUGUGCCCUUUAUUGAUUAUUUUCGCUUGGGCUUCAUUCCCUUAGCAUAUUUUGACGUCCUCGUUCUGAUUUUGGAUAGAUUCGACGCGAGUGGAGGCCGAUUCGAGGGGCAAAGGCAUCGCGAGCUAGAGAUUUGACUAGUUCGAGGUGAGUAAUAAUUGUAAAUGAUAUUUUGAGAGUUUGAAACCCCGGAUUGCACAUCGUAGUGCUAUAUUGAGGAGGCACACGCUUGAUGACGAGCGUGGGGUCGUACACUUUUGGGGAUUGUGACUUGAUCCAUCUCGAUUGAUGAUUUUACCGCGUAUUUGACUGAGAUCUAUUUGUUAUCAUUAUUAUUUGGGCUGAAUGCCAUAUCUGGGCCUUGUGCCAAUUAUUUGUACCCUUCAGGGCUUUUUAUUGAUAUUUUCUCAUUGUUUUGACUUUACACUUGAACUCAAUCAUGUUAUUUUCCACUAUUUUUCAUACUCAGCUAUGUUUACUCAGUUUUAAGACUUAAGUCGUAUUUUAAAUGAUGAUUGGGCUGAGAAACACUGUUUUACUAUUGCCCGAGGGGCUUGUGAGAAUUUUUGACUAAGUAAGGCCGAGGGACUAUGUUGUGAGGAAACACUGAUAUUGAUUUGAGGCCGAGGGCCUGAGAUAUGUACGCCACAAGGUGACUUGAUUGAUAUGAGGCCGAGAGCCUAGUAAUGAUGCCACGAGAUGGCUUGAUAUUGCGCUUGGGCCAUAAGGGGCCCCUCCAGGAGUCUGCACAAUCUCAGUGAGCGCGGGUAACCAUUGUGAUAUGAGAUUGAGCCUGAGGGGCUUGUAUUGUUCUGAGAUAUUGCCCGAGGGGCGGAUUUGUUGAUACUGUGCCCGAGGGGCGAACUUCUAUUUGUUUAAUUUAUCUUAAUUGUCUGUCAAUUACCUACUUACUUGUUGAAAAAAGAUUGUUACUUAAUUUUUAACUGGUUUACUGCUCUUAAAUGGUUUUACUGCUUAGAAUGCCUUGUGUCUUACGUGUUUUCUUACUUUCAGUCAUUAUUUACAUUUGUUACUCACUGAGUUGGAGUACUCACUUUACUCCCUGCACCCUAUGUACAGAUUCGGGCGUAGCUGGUUCCGCUCUCGAGUGUUGAUCCCUCCAGCUUCAGGCGGACAUUCGGAGUUCACGAGGUAGCUAUUGGCGUCUGCAGCCCCGUGUCUCUACUCUUUUAUCAUCUCUAUCUCUUUUCAAACAUCUGUACUAGCUUAUAGACUUAGCAGACUUGUAUUAUGACUUAUAGAUGCUUAUGACUAGUGACACCUCUGUUAGGGCUGUGUAUGGGUGUUCUUCCGUGUAUUUAUGUUAUCAUCUGUCAUAUUGGACUUAUUUUAUCAUA